Molecule: small RNA, 632 nt
Filed under: Pan troglodytes (chimpanzee)
Lineage: Eukaryota; Metazoa; Chordata; Mammalia; Primates; Hominidae
Description: retained intron
Source: RNAcentral
CCCAGCCGCCGCGUAAGGACCAGCAGCCGGGCCCGGCCGGUGGCGGAGGAGACUUCCCAAGUAAGAAGCGGAAGAGGAGCCGCUGGAACCAAGACACAAUGGAACAGAAGACAGUGAUUCCGGGAAUGCCUACAGUUAUUCCCCCUGGACUUACUCGAGAACAAGAAAGAGCUUAUAUAGGUAAAUAUACGUUCUGCAUCCAAAUGCACUUUGAGAUUGUUACGAUUUAUUCUGAGCAAGAUCUGCAUUUUUUGAAAGUUUGAGAUUGUAGUUAUCUUUUUUGAGAUGAGAUACUUUCACGACUUUGGUAUCAUCUGUCAGUUUUUGCCCAGUGAGUUCUGCAUUUGCAGCUCCUUGUUUUGGUCUGUUCGUAACUGCAGUGUUCUCCAUGAGUAUCAGGAAGGUAGGGUUUCACUUAGGAGUAAGAACAGUCCCCAAUCCAGCAGCCACCCUUUUCAGCUGCUGUUCAUUGCCAGUUGAUGAGGUGAGUGUCAUCUGCCUCUCUGGACAGGCCCCAGUGGAGAACACCGCAGGUACUGGAAACCAAGUACUUUUCACAGCAUGGCCUUUCACCAUAAUUUUAUAUUUCUCCCCCUAAAAUGUGGUCUUUUAUUUUUUAUAGGUACUUUCUG